GCCAGGUGCUUGGAGUCAGACAGGAAUGUCUCAAGAGCUUCCAUUCUGCGGAGUACUAUGAUGGGAGGAGGUUUCUGUCCCCACAGGAAUCAUCCUCUAGUUAGGAGAGUCUGCCUUGGCUGCUGGGAGAUCCACAGCUCAUCUGCACCAGACCGAAACCCAGGAGCAACCCUCUCAGCCUCUCGGCCUCUGGGAGCACAAACCUCAUGCUCUAACUUGACCAGCUGAAAGUUCCUUGAAGGUUUCCUUUCUCUGUGCACUUACCGCCCCUCCCACCAGUCUCCAAUGACAAGUUACUGAACACCUACUAUGUGCUAGGAAGCCAUGAAGACAGUUUGGAUACAAAGGUGGACUCUGAUCCUUCUGGGCACCUGGACCAUAUCAACUGACCUGGGUGUGUCCCCAGUGUCUUGAACUCGUUACCACUCCUUGCAGAUUCACUUCACCACACGCUGGGACACAAAGCCCAGGCUAAGCCUGCAGGCAGCUGCAGCCAAUAUGGUCUGCACGGUUGAGCACAGCAGGGACUUUGAGCAAGGACACGAUUUCACCCCCACCACGUGUUUCUCCUCUGAGGGAAGCUGAACACCCCAGGUGACCUUGCCCCCUCUGGGAGGGGGGACGCGUUUCACAGUGGCAGCAGGAGGCUGCGGGUCAGUGAGGGUGAUGACCAGGCCUGCAGAGAUCCUGCUCUGUCUCUGCAGAACCCCAUAAAUCUUUCCAUCAGGAGUAAUUCCCUUUGGAUCAAGAGAGCCCUCUGCAUUCCUGAAAUCAGUGAAGGCAAAAUGUACAAGGAUUUCUGAGAAAAGUGAAUGUGGUGUGAGCAUGAUCCCUGGGUGUUACUAUGCAGAGAGAAAGCCUUUUUUUUUUUUUUUUAACUCCACUGAAUGGUGUUCUUUGCUCUCAAGUUAACUCAUGCACUGGAUUUGGUCCAAGAACAUUUUGUUUCUUGAUUUCUAGCCAGGCUUCUCUCAGUUGUGGCACAUUCCCCUCUUUGCACCCUUCCUUUCCUUGUCCCUUUCUUUCUCCCUUUCUUUUUUUAAUUUUUAAAUAAUUAUUUCAACUUUCCAUGUGACUAAACUGAUAUAGAGGAAAACCCACCAGCUGAGGUAGGGCUUCCCCUGGAGCGAGGCCCAAGGGUCUCGGAAGGGCUGGCCCCUCCCUUCCCCAGCAACGGCCUGCACAGCAAGGUAUGUCUGAAAGCAGCUGAAGCAGAGAGCGUUUGAACUCUGCCCCCUGCCAAAUGAGUUCCAGAUGUGUCAACUCCAGCCUCCUCUGUUCUCCGACUGUAGCCCUGCCAACAUACAUCUGUAGAUUGCUAGUGCACAGGAAACAUGAAAGAGUAUCUUUUACCACAUCUGCUCUUUCCCCAGCUCUCCUCCUCUGCCUCCUCGGACCUUGCCCUAUAUUUCUUUUCCCCCCUUCAGCAAAUUCAUUAAGGAAUCGCUGCACAACUCUCCUUGGCCGCAGAUGCCAGCUCGUCUGUCUUCCCCCAAGCCUGUUCGUGGUUUUCUGGACAGCUGACCAAAGCCCCACGAGAAUCAUUAAAGACGCCUAUUGGGUUUGCUGCAGGAGAAAAGAACUGAAUUUUCUCCGUUGGGCUGGUGCCAGUUAUCGAGCUGGAAAGGAAGGUUGUGGCUGUAAGAAGGGCAGAGCAGAGCUCUGGAGAUGAAAACACAGGUCUGCACAUGGAAUGUGCCUGCUGGCACAUCCCUGGGGGAGGUGAGGCCUUUCACGGCUCACCUCUUCCCAUGGAUGUUCUGGUUGCGGGGAACGCACAAGGCAGGUUUCUGUAAAACUGGAGGUGUUGAGUAGUAUGAGUUCCUUGCUUUCCCUCCAUCCCCUGGGGAAUGGCACCUGUUCUAAAUGUAACUCAAAGGUAGAGAAAAGAAUCAGAGAUCCUUUUAGCGAAGUAGACCAAGAGAUUUUUACUGAGGCACUUAUUCUCACAAGGAAAAUAAUUUGAUUGUUGUGUAAAUAAACGCUUGACUUUCAUUCUGCCCUUUAUCCACGUGGACUCUGAAUUCUCUCUAGCUCCAUACCAAGGGACAUAGAAUGGAGCCAAGUGACAAAUCUGGGAGAGGAAAAGAGAGUGCACUAGGGAAGGGAGCAGAAAGUUGAAAGGGCCUAUGGGCUCAGGGGCCUGAGAGAGGAGCAGGCGGGAGGCCCCGCUGACUCGGAACCUGUGUCCAGCACACAGGCUCACCUGGGAGGCCAUGGAGCUCCCAGGAGUUAAAGAGAGCUAAGUGAGCCUAACAUGGUUUUCUGGACCCUGGGGAAGACUGCCCCGGCCUCUGACUGAAGGACAUAGUAGAGAGUGGGUGACAUUUACAUUCUUCUUUAAUAGUCCCAAGCACUCCCAUCUCUGGUUGUCAAGCGAAGCCCUAAGAUUUGCCUGGGUUUCUGCAAUAGUAUCCUCCCUCUUUGCAACCAACCAAAAAACGUGUCACCUCAUCCCUCAAGCAGGGGUUGCUCCAGAAAACAAGGGGAGGAGUUAAAGCUGGCUCAGGAAUGCCUCUUUCCACCAUACCUCUCCAUGCAGCUCCCCCAAAGACAUUGGAACAGUAGCUUCUUCCGAAAGAAGUGCAUAGUCUGCAGAUUCCUUCCUGUAAGGGAAGGUGGGUGAAGGGUAAAUAAACCUUUUCCUUCUGAAUGAGAACUUGACUUUAGGUUAGCAAUAUAGCUCUGUUACUCUGGCAACCUCUUAAGGGUAGGUAACAAACUACAUUUCCAGGCAACAUUACUAAAGACAAAAAUGACCCCUGAUUGGUAAAUUGC
This is a long non-coding RNA of Artibeus jamaicensis (Jamaican fruit-eating bat), 2778 nucleotides long. RefSeq lists it as uncharacterized. The transcript has 5 exons. NCBI's taxonomy places the organism in Eukaryota, Metazoa, Chordata, Mammalia, Chiroptera, Phyllostomidae. The record is from RefSeq and is a predicted model, not a curated record.